This is a long non-coding RNA of Gallus gallus (chicken), 1861 nucleotides long. The record is from Ensembl. NCBI's taxonomy places the organism in Eukaryota, Metazoa, Chordata, Aves, Galliformes, Phasianidae.
GUCCAAGAGUUGCAAUAAAUCAACUUCAGAAUAUUUUGUUAAUAUGGUGGAGUAUUAAUGGAAACUAUCUUUGCACGCUGCAAUAACUAAGCAGCCUUAGAGCUAAUUCUUGUAAUUUUCAUCAUUCUUAUGUUUAGAAGUAAUUUAUCCAGCUCAAGAAUAUUAAAACUGUGGAAAGAAAAAAUCAGGAUUGGAGGAGAAACAUGACAGGCAUAGCAAUCAAAACAGGUCACAUGCAUAACAAAACAUUGUUUUUUCCCCACCAGUCUCACUCAGAAUCACUGCAGAUUUACAAUGUGUUAUACGAUAAAUAAAAACUAAGCCUCAUUUCUAUAAUUUAGCUUUACUAGAAAUUACAUUAGAACUGUCAACUGCUUAAAUACACACGCACACAAAAAUUGAUACCCAAAAGAAAUAAAGACCUCUGAAAGAUCACAGCAGACAUACAAGCUUUGCUUCAGACAACAAAAAGCAGCCAGUCUCCAGCUUACCCUUUGUGAGGGCUAAAGGUACCUGCUCUUCAGUACCUGAGUAGCCUCAGAUUGAGCCUUGUCUCUGGUGUCUCCUUCAUCCCCAAAGUGCUCUCUGGCAGGAGCCCUGCUCCUCUUUGCACCCUCUCGUAAAACACCCCUUGGGCCCUUUCCUUAGGCACUGCUCCCGUAUCUGACAGCAGCCACCUUCUGCUGCAAGGUUGUUAAACAGGGAAGGGAAAACAGUGUUACCAGAUGGGAAACAAUGAUGGGACUAAGACACAACCUCUCUGCAGCUUUCUACACUGACUGUUACUGUGAAGUAACACAGUAAAAUGCAUCCCAAGUUUUUGCACGCAAAAUGCCUCCAGGAAAUAUUGUUACUGAUACAGUGGGCAGAAUAGAUCCUUGACUUUCAUUCAUAUGUAAGAGUUGUCUGGAAUUUAGAUAAAUGCUUCCGAGUCUCAAUCAUGGAGGUCCUCCUACUCCUGUGCAUUCAGCUAUUCUUUGUCCUGCCACAGCCUCUUUUGUCCUCUAUAAUUUUCUCUUGCUUGACUUUGUUACAUUAGUGCUUCUUUUGCUCUCUUUGGCAUCUUUCUUCUUACUGACAUCUAAAGAAUCAUUAGUGUUUUCUGCUCUCAGGUGAAGCCCACUAACUCCAGUUUCUCUCUUGAGCCUUUGUUCCAAGUAUUAUUGUCACUAAAACUGACUGUAUCGCCUCUAUAAAACAAAUCCAAAAUACAUUUGUGGCUCCCCUUCAUGAAAAACAACAACAACAACAACAAGAAAACCCACCAACCUUGGAAAGGAAGGUCAUUCGCCUCUGCUACUCUCCCUGAUAUUGUUUCAGUACCUUCUGGAGUACUUCCAGCACACACACAACUUUGGUUGUGGAGAGCUACUUAAUGUUACACGCUGGUGAAAGCUGAAUUCUGGUGUAGAAAUAAGUUUUGCAAUAACAGUACCCUCCUCACCAGGAUAGUAAGAAUAAGGUCAUGUUUGGCAGAUCUUGCACUGUUAUUUUUUUCCAAAACCUUCCAGAGUUACUCGAUGCAAAAGAAUUACAGAUGAAUUUCAAUACUUACACUCUUCACAGUAUCAUUACCUUAAUUAAAUGGCUUAAGAGUGAGAAUCUCAAUAUCAGAAGGUGCCAGCUCACUGCCACCUCUUCACACCAUGAUCAGGAUCCUCCUCCGCAAGCCCUCCCAGGUGGCACUCUCUAUGCGGAGGCCAUAAGGAUGGUCCAGGCCCACAUUCUCUUUUCCUGAACACUUGGACAUCCCUCAGCUUGUCAUCCUCACAGGUCUUCCUCUUCCUUAGCUGUGUGUUCCUCUGGAGACUGCAGGCACAACUGAAUACUUCACUGUACUGAAAGACACAAUAAACCAUAA